GAUAUUCACAUCUGUAGCUCAUAUACUAAAAUUGGAAUGAUACAGGUAUUAGCAUGGCUCCUGUGCACAGAUGAAAUGCAAAUUUGUGAAGUGUUUUGUAAUGUG
Suncus etruscus (white-toothed pygmy shrew) is the source of this 105-nucleotide small nuclear RNA. The record is from RefSeq and is a predicted model, not a curated record. NCBI's taxonomy places the organism in Eukaryota, Metazoa, Chordata, Mammalia, Eulipotyphla, Soricidae.